Molecule: ribosomal RNA, 346 nt
Filed under: Cladophialophora matsushimae
Lineage: Eukaryota; Fungi; Ascomycota; Eurotiomycetes; Chaetothyriales; Herpotrichiellaceae
Description: eukaryotic LSU rRNA
Rfam family: 5.8S ribosomal RNA (bases 1-88)
Source: RNAcentral
UGCGAUUGCAGAUUCUAGUGAGUCAUCGAAUCUUUGAACGCACAUCGCGCCCUUUGGCAUUCCGAAGGGCAUGCCUGUUCGAGCGUCAUUAUCACCCCUCAAGCCCCGUGCUUGGUGUUGGACGGCUUGGUCGAGGUCCGCCUCGACCCCUCCCAAAGACAAUGACGGCGGCCUGUGGCUCCCCCGGCACACUGAGCUUCUCACCGAGCACGUGUCGGAUCGCGGGCGUCCAGGUCCCGGUCGGCCUCCUUGUUCGCAAGGACCAUUUUUCUCAAGGUUGACCUCGGAUCAGGUAGGAAUACGCGCUGAACUUAAGCAUAUCAAUAAGCGGAGGAAUCUUGCUGAA